GGGGGGGGGGGGGGGGGGGGGGGGGGGGGGGGGGGCGGGCGGGGGGGGGCGGGUUUGGGGGGGUGCUGGAGGGGCGGAGGGGUGAGUGACGGGUGGGUGACCUGCCCUUGACGUUGGGAUAACUUCCGGCAACUGGGGCUAAUACCGGAUAGGAGCUGCUGCUGCAUGGUGGGGGGUGGAAAGUUUCGGCGGUUGGGGCUGGACUCGCGGCUUAUCAGCUUGUUGGUUGGGUAGUGGCUUACCAAGGCUUUGACGGGUAGCCGGCCUGAGAGUGUGACCGGCCACAUUGGGACUGAGAUACGGCCCAGACUCCUACGGGAGGCAGCAGUGGGGAAUAUUGCACAAUGGGCGGAAGCCUGAUGCAGCAACGCCGCGUGCGGGAUGACGGCCUUCGGGUUGUAAACCGCUUUCGCCUGUGACGAAGCGUGAGUGACGGUAAUGGGUAAAGAAGCACCGGCUAACUACGUG
RNAcentral lists this ribosomal RNA (468 nucleotides) under uncultured bacterium. RNAcentral describes it as "partial 16S ribosomal RNA". It matches the Rfam family "Bacterial small subunit ribosomal RNA", at positions 39 to 507 of the family's 1533-position model. The record is from RNAcentral.